Molecule: non-coding RNA, 24 nt
Filed under: Mus musculus (house mouse)
Lineage: Eukaryota; Metazoa; Chordata; Mammalia; Rodentia; Muridae
Also listed under: 1 other name
Source: RNAcentral
UCCGAUGCCCAGAUGAUGCAGACA